UCAGGCUAGUUGGGGUAGUAUGUAUAGUUAAAGGGACACUGGUUAGUCGGGCUAAUUGGGGUAGUAUGUAUAGUUAAAGGGGCACUGGUUAGUCGGGCUAAUUGGGGUAGUAUGUAUAGUUAAAGGGGCACUGGUUAGUCGGGCUAGUUGAGGUAGUAUGUAUAGUGAAAGGGGCACUGGUUAGUCGGGCUAAUUGGGGUAGUAUGUAUAGUUAAAGGGCACUGGUUAGUAGGGCUAAUUGGGGUAGUAUGUAUAGUUAAAGGACACUGGUUAGUCGGGCUAAUUGGGGUAGUGUGUAUAGUUAAAGGGCACUGGUUAGUCAGGCUAAUUGGGGUAGUAUGUAUAGUUAAAGGGGCACUGGUUAGUCGGGCUGAUUGGGGUAGUAUGUAUAGUUAAAGGGACACUGGUUAGUCGGGCUAGUUGAGGUAGUAUGUAUAGUGAAAGGGGCACUGGUUAGUCGGGCUAAUUGGGGUAGUAUGUAUAGUUAAAGGGCACUGGUUAGUAGGGCUAAUUGGGGUAGUAUGUAUAGUUAAAGGGACACUGGUUAGUCGGGCUAAUUGGGGUAGUAUGUAUAGUUAAAGGGACACUGGUUAGUCAGGCUAAUUGGGGUAGUAUGUAUAGUUAAAGGGACACUGGUUAGUCAGGCUGAUUGGGGUAGUAUGUAUAGUUAAAGGGACACUGGUUAGUCAGGCUAAUUGGGGUAGUAUGUAUAGUUAAAGGGGCACUGGUUAGUCAGGCUGAUUGGGGUAGUAUGUAUAGUUAAAGGGACACUGGUUAGUCGGGCUGAUUGGGGUAGUAUGUACAUCAAUGUAUAGUUAAAGGAUAUAUGCAUAUAUGAUAAACAGAGAGUAGCAGCAGCGUAAAAGAGGGGUUGGGGGGUGGGGGUAUUGUGUCAUCAUGGGGUAUUGUGUCAUCAUGGGGUAUUGUGUCAUCAUGGGGUAUUGUGUCAUCAUGGGGUAUUGUGUCAUCAUGGGGUAUUGUGUCGUUACGGGGUAUUGUGUCGUUACGGGGUAUUGUGUCGUCAUGGGGUAUUGUGUCAUUAUGGGGUAUUGUGUCGUCAUGGGGUAUUGUGUCAUUAUGGGGUAUUGUGUCAUCAUGGGGUAUUGUGUCAUCAUGGGGUAUUGUGUCAUCAUGGGGUAUUGUGUCGUUACUGGGUAUUGUAUCGUUACCGGGUAUUGUGUCGUCACGGGGUAUUGUGUCAUCACGGGGUAUUGUGUCGUCACGGGGUAUUGUGUCAUCAUGGGGUAUUGUGUCAUCAUGGGGUAUUGUGUCAUCAUGGGGUAUUGUGUCAUCAUGGGGUAUUGUGUCGUUACGGGGUAUUGUGUCGUCACGGGGUAUUGUGUCAUCAUGGGGUAUUGUGUCAUCGUGUCAUUAUGGGGUAUUGUGUCAUUACGGGGUAUUGUGUGUAGAUUGAUGAUGAGAAAAAUGUAUUUAAUCUAUUUUAGAAUAAGGCUGUAACGUAACAAAAUGGGAAGGGGUAUGAAUACUUUCCGAAUUCACUGUGUAUUUCAAAUAGUAUGUUGAAACAAUGUCGAAAUAAACAUGUCUUCAUUUUCACACAGUCAGAAACUAUAAAUAGAUGUCUACAUUUUACAAUCAAUUAGUAAAAAGAGAUCCUCAAAUAUCACAUUCAUUAGUAACUAUCCAUUGUUUUGCAAAGUUGGUUCCUGUUCGUAUUUGGUCAAACAGAAACACUCUGAUGAUUGGUUGACCCAAUAGAACCUUCCACAAUUUCAGCCAAUGGCUGUAAGUUACAGCUGGGGAGGAGGAACUGUGUGCAGUCGACUGUCUGCAAUUGACUUUAUGAUCUUUGAUCAUAUGUUUUUUUUUUUUUAAAGUUCAUGUAGGCGCAAGAUGGACAUUUUUUAUCCCCAUAAUGCAUCACAAUUUGAAAAGGCGGUGACUUGACGAAAGUGAUCCGCUCGAACGAGCCCAUUGCCAUAACAUGUGCAAAUACCUGUCCAAGCAUUGUAAACUCAGUCAGGUGUCAGCAACGUCUGAGCAGAGAAACGCGCCCAAAGACUGCAGGUGGGGGCAUUUAAAGAGCUAGCCCCAACCCUUUUCAUGUGAAUGAGAUGGACUGAGGUGUGGCAACCAAUAAUGCUGUGUUCGUAACCAAGUGGGAGGUCGGGAUUUUUCAAUUGUGAAGUAGUAAAUACCAGUUGAAUGGCCAUUCAUGUGGAUUUUUUCCCCAGUCGUAUGUGGUAAAUUCCCACUUGGUUAUGAAUGCAGCGCACUGAUAACUAACCCCAGAUGUGUCAUUGGCGUUGUUUCCAAUGGGAACAAAGUUGUAUCGUGCCUCACAUUCAUCACACAUGACAUAGGUAUCAUCUUGCUCUUUCAGCACUUCAGCAAAUCUUUCCCAAACUUCACUUUUGUGACCCUCCCGUCUCUUUAUUUUCAACUCUCCAUUUCGCAGAUUUUCUUAAUAAAUUAAUAAACAAUU
Oncorhynchus keta (chum salmon) is the source of this 2446-nucleotide long non-coding RNA. RefSeq lists it as uncharacterized. The transcript is spliced from 2 exons. The record is from RefSeq and is a predicted model, not a curated record. NCBI's taxonomy places the organism in Eukaryota, Metazoa, Chordata, Actinopteri, Salmoniformes, Salmonidae.